Xiphophorus hellerii (green swordtail) is the source of this 162-nucleotide long non-coding RNA. RefSeq lists it as uncharacterized. NCBI's taxonomy places the organism in Eukaryota, Metazoa, Chordata, Actinopteri, Cyprinodontiformes, Poeciliidae. The transcript is spliced from 3 exons. The record is from RefSeq and is a predicted model, not a curated record.
GGUGGAGAUGUGAUGGAGACCACGGGUUCCAUCCCAUGUUGAUUAUUGAUAUUAUGUUGUUUUCAGUUCAAAUGUGUUUGUAUUAGUUCUUUGUUUAACUGGGAUGAAGGGUGCUGGUGUAAUGAAGAUUUGGAGCUCCCAAAUAAAUCCACCUCAAAGACA